RNAcentral lists this ribosomal RNA (144 nucleotides) under Amanita sp. 'whetstoneae'. Its description in RNAcentral is "partial 28S ribosomal RNA". It matches the Rfam family "Eukaryotic large subunit ribosomal RNA", at positions 1 to 142 of the family's 3401-position model. Lineage: Eukaryota; Fungi; Basidiomycota; Agaricomycetes; Agaricales; Amanitaceae. The record is from RNAcentral.
UUGACCUCAAAUCAGGUAGGACUACCCGCUGAACUUAAGCAUAUCAAUAAGCGGAGGAAAAGAAACUAACAAGGAUUCCCCUAGUAACUGCGAGUGAAGUGGGAAAAGCUCAAAUUUAAAAUCUGACAGUUGUUGACUGUCUGA